This is a transfer RNA of Ramazzottius varieornatus, 72 nucleotides long. It matches the Rfam family "tRNA". Rfam says of the family: Transfer RNA (tRNA) molecules are approximately 80 nucleotides in length. The record is from Rfam. Lineage: Eukaryota; Metazoa; Tardigrada; Eutardigrada; Parachela; Ramazzottiidae.
GGGUCAGUAGUCUAGGGGUAUGAUACCUGCUUUGGGUGCAGGUGGUCCGGGGUUCAAUUCCCCGCUGGCCCC